This 220-nucleotide unclassified non-coding RNA is filed under the name Hevea brasiliensis (rubber tree). The record is from RNAcentral. Lineage: Eukaryota; Viridiplantae; Streptophyta; Magnoliopsida; Malpighiales; Euphorbiaceae.
GAAGCAUAUUUCUUAAGAGAAUGACGUGUGAGAUGGAUAGAUCUCUGUAAAAUGAGAUAUGGAGAUCAAGAAAUAGAACUAUAGAAGAGAAGCCAUAAGCAAAAUAGAGUUAAGCUGAUAAUGAAGGAUCUGAGAAAUCUAUUGCACUUUUUGGGUAGGUUAGAGAAUGCAUGUAAGGUCUAGAUUUGGAUUAUAGUAGAAAUGCUGGGCUUAUUUCUGU